This 163-nucleotide unclassified non-coding RNA is filed under the name uncultured Sordariales. Its description in RNAcentral is "sequence contains ITS2". The record is from RNAcentral. Lineage: Eukaryota; Fungi; Ascomycota; Sordariomycetes; Sordariales.
CAACCACUCAGGCCCCUAACGGCCUGGCGUUGGGGCAUCUACGGUUGACCGUAGGCCCUAGAAGACAGUGGCGGUAUCCGCUAGCACUCCGGGCGCAGUAUAUCUCCUUCUCGCCUAGGACGUCUUGCCGGCCGCCGGCCGUAAAACAGCUUAAAAUUUACAA